This 561-nucleotide ribosomal RNA is filed under the name uncultured bacterium. Its description in RNAcentral is "bacterial SSU rRNA". It matches the Rfam family "Bacterial small subunit ribosomal RNA", at positions 338 to 916 of the family's 1533-position model. The record is from RNAcentral.
CCUACGGGAGGCAGCAGUGAGGAAUCUUGCGCAAUGGGGGAAACCCUGACGCAGCGACGCCGCGUGCGGGAAGAAGGCCUUCGGGUCGUAAACCGCUUUUCUGUGGGACGAGGAAGGACGGUACCACAGGAAUAAGUCCCGGCUAACUACGUGCCAGCAGCCGCGGUAAAACGUAGGGGGCGAGCGUUAUCCGGAAUCACUGGGCGUAAAGGGCGUCUAGGCGGCACGUUAAGUCUUGCGUGAAAGCUCCUGGCUCAACUAGGAGAGUGCGUGGGAAACUAGCGAGCUUGAGACGUGGAGGGGUGCACGGAAUUCCCGGUGGAGUGGUGGAAUGCGUUGAGAUCGGGAGGAACACCAGAAGCGAAGGCGGUGCACUGGCCACGGACUGACGCUGAAGCGCGACAGCGUGGGGAGCGAACGGGAUUAGAUACCCCGGUAGUCCACGCCGUAAACGAUGACGACUAGGUGUGUGUAACCGAAGGGUUAUGCGUAUCGCAGCAAACGCGAUAAGUCGUCCGCCUGGGGAGUACGGCCGCAAGCUAAACUCAAAGGAAUUGACGG